This 58-nucleotide microRNA precursor is filed under the name Tribolium castaneum (red flour beetle). RNAcentral's name for it is "Tca-Mir-2765_pre stem-loop". The record is from RNAcentral. Lineage: Eukaryota; Metazoa; Arthropoda; Insecta; Coleoptera; Tenebrionidae.
UGGUAACUCCACCACCGUUGGCGUGUGUUGUACUGCCAGCGGUCGAGGAGUUCCUUAA